GAUAAACGCUGGCGGCGCACAUAAGACAUGCAAGUUGAACGGACUUAAUCGAAAUAUUUAUAUUUUGAAGCGGUUAGUGGCGGACUGGUGAGUAACGCGUAAGAAACCUGCCUAUUAGAGGGGAAUAACAGUGAGAAAUCAUUGCUAAUACCGCAUAUGCCAUAGAUAUCACAUGAUAACAGUGGGAAAGGAGCAAUCCGCUAAUAGAUGGCCUUGCGUCUGAUUAGAUAGUUGGUGGGGUAACGGCCUACCAAGUCGACGAUCAGUAGCCGGACUGAGAGGUUGAACGGCCACAUUGGGACUGAGAUACGGCCCAGACUCCUACGGGAGGCAGCAGUCGGGAAUAUUGCGCAAUGGAGGAAACUCUGACGCAGUGACGCCGCGUAUAGGAAGAAGGUUUUCGGAUUGUAAACUAUUGUCGUUAGGGAAGAGAAAGGACAGUACCUAAGGAGGAAGCUCCGGCUAACUACGUG
RNAcentral lists this ribosomal RNA (473 nucleotides) under uncultured bacterium. RNAcentral's name for it is "partial 16S ribosomal RNA". It matches the Rfam family "Bacterial small subunit ribosomal RNA", at positions 28 to 507 of the family's 1533-position model. The record is from RNAcentral.